UACGUAGGGAGCAAGCGAUGUUCGGAUUUACUGGGCGUAAAGGGCGCGUAGGCGGCGCGGUAAGUCACUUGUGAAAUCUCUGAGCUUAACUCAGAACGGCCAAGUGAUACUGCUGUGCUAGAGUGCGGAAGAGGCAACCGGAAUUCUUGGUGUAGCGGUGAAAUGCGUAGAUAUCAAGAGGAACACCUGAGGCGAAGGCGGGUUGCUGGGCCGACACUGACGCUGAUGCGCGAAAGCCAGGGGAGCAAACGGG
This 253-nucleotide ribosomal RNA is filed under the name uncultured bacterium. RNAcentral describes it as "partial 16S ribosomal RNA". It matches the Rfam family "Bacterial small subunit ribosomal RNA", at positions 524 to 776 of the family's 1533-position model. The record is from RNAcentral.